This 279-nucleotide ribosomal RNA is filed under the name uncultured bacterium. RNAcentral describes it as "partial 16S ribosomal RNA". It matches the Rfam family "Bacterial small subunit ribosomal RNA", at positions 506 to 784 of the family's 1533-position model. The record is from RNAcentral.
UGCCAGCAGCCGCGGUAAUACGAAGGGCCCGAGCGUUAAUCGGAAUCACUGGGCUUAAAGCGCGUGUAGGCGGUUCGUUAAGUCUGAUGUGAAAGCCCGGGGCUCAACCCCGGAAGUGCAUUGGAAACUGGCGAACUUGAGUACGGGAGAGGAAAGUGGAAUUCCGAGUGUAGGGGUGAAAUCCGUAGAUAUUCGGAGGAACACCAGUGGCGAAGGCGGCUUUCUGGACCGAUACUGACGCUGAGACGCGAAAGCGUGGGGAGCAAACAGGAUUAGAUA